This 176-nucleotide ribosomal RNA is filed under the name uncultured eukaryote. RNAcentral describes it as "partial small subunit ribosomal RNA". The record is from RNAcentral.
CUAAGUGCUUCCAUAUCUAGUUCUGGUACGGGCAUCUUAUAGUCAUCCGGUGACCAUUGGCGAGCCAUUUUGAGAAUCACGUCAGCACCAACAGAUGCUUCACGCUUGAGGUCGCGAGCGAUACAGUUUUCCACACUAGUGUUAAAUUCUAUGACACUAACGGUCACUGGGUUGGU